GCCGACCUAUGUACACCACAAACUCUUAAAGUAACAGAAUGUAAACGCGUCUAACGCAUCUUAAUACGACUUUCGGCAACGGAUCUCUUGGCUCUCGCAUCGAUGAAGAACGCACCGAAAUGCGAUAAGUAAUGUGAAUUGCAGAAUUCAGUGAAUCAUCGAAUCUUUGAACGCACCUUGCGCUCCUUGGUAUUCCGAGGAGCAUGCCUGUUUGAGUGUCAUGAAAUUCUCAACCCAUAAAUCCUUGUGAUCUAUGGGCUUGGAUUUGGAGGCUUGCUGGCCGGAACGGUCGGCUCCUCUUGAAUGCAUUAGCUUGAUUCCGUGCGGAUCGGCUCUCAAUGUGAUAAUUGUCUACGCUGUGACCGUGAAGCGUUUUGGCGAGCUUCUAACCGUCCAUUAGGACAAUUUUAUAACAUCUGACCUCAAAUCAGGUAGGACUACCCGCUGAACUUAAGCAUAUCAAUAAGCGGAGGAA
Molecule: ribosomal RNA, 475 nt
Filed under: Trametes sp. E MRT-2012
Lineage: Eukaryota; Fungi; Basidiomycota; Agaricomycetes; Polyporales; Polyporaceae
Description: eukaryotic LSU rRNA
Rfam family: 5.8S ribosomal RNA (bases 68-221)
Source: RNAcentral